Molecule: ribosomal RNA, 253 nt
Filed under: uncultured bacterium
Lineage: Bacteria
Description: partial 16S ribosomal RNA
Rfam family: Bacterial small subunit ribosomal RNA
Source: RNAcentral
UACAGAGGUCUCGAGCGUUGUUCGGAUUCAUUGGGCGUAAAGGGUGCGUAGGUGGCGCUGUAAGUCGGGUGUGAAAUCCUGAGGCUUAACCUCGGAACUGCAUUCGAUACUGCGGCGCUUGAGGACUGGAGAGGAGACUGGAAUUCAUGGUGUAGCAGUGAAAUGCGUAGAGAUCAUGAGGAAGACCAGUGGCGAAGGCGAGUCCCUGGACAACACCUGACACUGAGGCACGAAAGCUAGGGGGGCAAACAGG